Molecule: ribosomal RNA, 434 nt
Filed under: uncultured archaeon
Lineage: Archaea
Description: bacterial SSU rRNA
Rfam family: Bacterial small subunit ribosomal RNA
Source: RNAcentral
CUCAACUGAGGGAGGUGCGUCGAAACUGAUGGGCUAGAGGAACGCAGAGGGAGGUGGAACUCUCGGAGUAGCGGUGGAAUGCGUAGAUACCGAGAGGUACCCCGAUGGCGAAGGCAGCCUCCUGGGCGUUUCCUGACGCUGAAGCGCUAAGGCCAGGGGAGCAAAGGGGAUUAGAUACCCCCGUAGUCCUGGCUGCAAACGAUGUGAGUUAGGUAUCGGGCCCAUAAGAGGCUCGUUGCCGCAGCUAACGCGUUAAACUCACCGCCUGGGGAUUACGUCCGCAAGGAUGAAACUCAAGGGAAUUGACGGGGGCCCACACAACCGGUGGAGCACGUGGUUUAAUUCGAUGAUAAGCGAAGAACCUUACCAGGAUUUGACCUAACGGUAGUAGGACCCUGAAAGGGGAACGAUCCUAGACUUCGUCUAGGAAGCCG